GUUCAUUUUGGCUUUCAAGCUAGAGUUGUCAUGCAAGAAGAAUACACUAAUUUCGUAUUUUCUCAUCUCCUUCUUUUGGGGAUAAGCAUUUGGGCUUUCUGCUGUUUAUUAUUUCAAAGGCAUCUAUAUGCUAAUACAUUUUAUGCUAAUUAUUUUCAUGUUUGCCCCUCAGGUCAUGCUUCGCAUCACCCACCAGGGAGGAUCAUCUCUCAUGAAAACUUUCAAAUUUGAUUUUGAAAAUUUAUUCAGAAAAAUUUAAGCCAUGCUUUUUCCCAACACAAGAAAUAAUAUGCUCCAGAGAACCCUCUAAUUCACAGAAAAUGGACCUGGAUGACAUUUGGGUCCUCAUACUACCACAGUCCUCUUGAGAAGGACAGCCAGGAGGCUAAUAAUGAAGGGCCAGGGAAGGAGGCCAAUGCUACAAGGGUUAUCUCACAACCUCAGAUGGUGGAUAAGUCGAAGGAGGCAGAAUCGCUUCUGGAUGACAUUCAGAAAGGCUGGAGUGAUUAUUUGGAAAAGAAAACCCUGCUUUUUCUUUCAAAGGUACAUGAAUAUUAUUGAGACCUGCCCUUCUAAUGGUACGUCCUUAGAAUCCUGCCUUAGACAAAGGAUACACUCGGAGCCUUGCUGCACCUAAAACCACGUUUUGAAAGAUCUGCCAAGUUCACUUUUAAUCAUGAGAAAGAAAUUACCCACAUGGAGACAGCAGAAAAUGAGAAAGUAGAGCUCGUGCUGCGAAUAAUUCCAGAGAGUGCCAAGGGGCUAGUUGAGGAAUGGCUUCAUGAGGUGAAUAUCUUUAGCUUGUACUUAGGGUUUGGUUAGCGUAUAAUCAUCUCUCUUUUAGGAGCGAAUACGAUCCUAAGUGUACUUCCAUCCAAGAAAUGCUCUGGGCAUUUGUGAGAUGUUGACAGAUUUAAUAUCAGCCUCACCCUUGCUGUUAUUUAUGAUGACUAAUUCUACAUUUAUAAAUAUGCAGAGAUCAAUUUAGGUGGAAAGGCUCUCUGAGCCCAUGUCUGUCACCAGCUGUCUGUCUUUAUGUGCAGGUGUUGUGCUGUGUGGCUUGCCCAGUAAUUUAUGUCUCUGUGUAUGUGUGCAUUCCUCUUGUUGUCUCUGCUCUGUUGUGAAUGUUUAUUGGGAGAAUUAGCCAAAUGAUAGGUUCCCAAAAAAUGGGACCCAAGACUUCCAUUUGAGUUUUGGAACA
Molecule: long non-coding RNA, 1201 nt
Organism: Phodopus roborovskii (desert hamster)
Lineage: Eukaryota; Metazoa; Chordata; Mammalia; Rodentia; Cricetidae
Exons: 3
Source: RefSeq, a predicted model, not a curated record